UGUGUGGGGACGAGGGAGAGACCAAAAGCUCAGUCAAAGAGAUUUUCAGCAUCUGCGGUAUUUUGCCAUUGGAAUAAACUGUAUACUCCAGCAAUAGCUGAACAACAUACACUUAUGUACCAGCUAUUAUGAGGAAGAAUGGCUCAACAAGCUUCACAACAACAAUCGGGAUCACUGAGCAGAAAAGAAAGGAGAGGAACUUUGAGGAGCCUGAUUGAAUAAUUCAACAGUAUUCACCAGAAAGCUCACUGUUGAUUUUGACUGGAGUGAACAGCAGGCAAACAGAGCUGAAAUAACACAAGAGGGAGCGCUCUGAAACACCUC
Molecule: long non-coding RNA, 324 nt
Organism: Callorhinchus milii (elephant shark)
Lineage: Eukaryota; Metazoa; Chordata; Chondrichthyes; Chimaeriformes; Callorhinchidae
Exons: 3
Source: RefSeq, a predicted model, not a curated record